AUGAUUUCGAUGAGGGCGAUAUAUCUUUUGGUACUCCCUUUGUACACAUUGAAUGGUGCUGAAUCAAGAACAGAGUACAGAAAAAAAGUACACAAGCAGGCGACAUCAAUCGCAGAACAGAAUACCAAAGAGGAAAACAACGAAGCGAUUAGAUCAGCCUGGUUUACAUUACUCAGAAAACCAAGGUACGAAAAUGCAGAGAGGGUUGAAACUUAUUUGAGCGGAACAGGGCAGGAAAAUGCGGACGACGUUGGAAAGAAAAUGAUAGAGGAGAACGAAAAAGAGAUUAUUCCGAGACAAAUACUCGUUGAAACAUCUGGAUUGAAGAAACUACAUUUGGAUACGCGUGGAUUUAGGGCGCCAGAUUUACAUGACCGAAGACAAAAGACCUUGUUACAAGAGGAUAAAUAUGAUUAUGACGCGCCCGACACCAGACGCUACCCCGAUGACAGAGGCAUGACUUUCUACUCCGGUCGCACGACAUCCAGAUACUUUCCCGAUUUCGAACAGGAUCGUUGAAGUGUUUAAAGAAUCCAUUCGUGUAAAAACCCAUGCAGUUUCAAGAACUGUAGAAAAAUAAAUAGAGUGUUAAAUUUAUAAAUAGAAGCCGGAGUUUAUAAAAUUGAUUUGACUCUAAAACUCAAAAGAAGAUACCAAAAUCUAACAUAAAUGUACCUAAUUAAUUUAUUGGAAUAAUAAUAAAAAAAACCUGGUUAUUUAUGUUCUUUCACCGAGAGAACACUGCCUGUUAUUCCAUGGACGAGCUUUGCUACGGAAUUUUCUUUUAUGUCUUGAUGGGUGGUAUACAAGGUUUAAUUUUAAUUUUAAUUUUAGUUUAAUUUUAAUUUUAGGCAUUGACCUCGUGUUAUCUUACGUCUGUCCAUCACAUCACCAUCUUUAUCCCCAUUCCUAUAGUUUACAGUCAAGAUCAAUGCUGAUAGUAUUAUCAGUUCUGUGCAACAUCGGCCUCCUGUGGUGUACUGUCGGCCUCCUGUGGUGUAGUGGUUGUAGCGCUGGCCCUAUGACCAAGAGGUCCCGGGUUCGAUUCCCGGCCAGGUGAUCUGAGUCUGAUGGUCUCAGGCAAUGGUCACCUGGGGCUGGGGUAAUAAGCGUGGGAUUAGCCAAUAGGCUAUUUGAAAUUGGUAAAAAAAAAAAAAAAAAAAAAAAGAAUUGUUUCAAAGUUACAAGUUCAAUCUCUCAUCACCCCUUAGAGCUUCGGCUUUCCCUAGUUUUUCAGUGAUUUCCGGUCACGAUCUCUCAGAGUCCAGGUGCACUUGACUGACCAACUGUCUCUUUGAUCCAACUGAUCGCGCCGAACACGGUGCUCGUUGCGGUCGACGCGCGGCGUGAAUAACGCAUAUUGGCGCCUGCAAGACUACAAAAAUACUUCACGCAUCGCGCGUUCACUACGGCGCGCGCCUUAAUCGUUAAAAUCGUUAUUUCUCGUGCCGGACCCAACAUGGACCACAGAGCCACCGUCCGAAGUAAAAACGCCGUAUCUUUAUUCAACAUGUUUUCAAUAUUUUCCGGACAAAAUGCUGUUUUACAGAAAAUCUAACAAAUAUUCAUCCUUUAGUUUUUCAAUACAACUCCGCCAUACUAUUAGGAACUAAAAUGAAGAAAUGAAGCCUAGUGGCAAUUGAAUUUUCUUGUAAUGGAGCAGUACGUG
RNAcentral lists this long non-coding RNA (1669 nucleotides) under Bemisia tabaci. Its description in RNAcentral is "lncRNA ENSSSA1UGG002421". Lineage: Eukaryota; Metazoa; Arthropoda; Insecta; Hemiptera; Aleyrodidae. The record is from RNAcentral.